GACGAACGCUGGCGGCGUGCUUAACACAUGCAAGUCGAACGGAAAGGCCCCUUUGGGGGUCCUCGCGUGGCGAACGGGUGAGUAACACGUGAGUAACCUGCCCUUGACUUCGGGAUAACUUCAGGAAACUGGGGCUAAUACCGGAUAGGAAUCCUUGCUGCAUGGUGGGGGUUGGAAAGCUUCGGCGGUUUUGGAUGGACUCGCGGCUUAUCAGCUUGUUGGUGGGGUAGUGGCUUACCAAGGCUUUGACGGGUAGCCGGCCUGAGAGGGCGACCGGCCACAUUGGGACUGAGAUACGGCCCAGACUCCUACGGGAGGCAGCAGUGGGGAAGAUUGCACAAUGGGCGGAAGCCUGAUGCAGCAACGCCGCGUGCGGGAUGACGGGCUUCGGGUUGGAAACCGCUUUCAGCAGGGGCGAAGCUUGUGGUGACGGUACCUGCAGAAGAAGCACCGGCUAACUACGUG
This 465-nucleotide ribosomal RNA is filed under the name uncultured bacterium. Its description in RNAcentral is "partial 16S ribosomal RNA". It matches the Rfam family "Bacterial small subunit ribosomal RNA", at positions 28 to 507 of the family's 1533-position model. The record is from RNAcentral.